GCUGGGUGCAGUGGCGCACACCUGUAAUCCCAAUGGCUCGAGAAGCUGAGACAGGAGGAUUGCAAGUUCAAAGCCAGCCUCAACAACUUAGCAAGGCCCUAAGCAACUCAGUGAGACCCUGUCUCUA
RNAcentral lists this small RNA (127 nucleotides) under Marmota monax (woodchuck). The record is from RNAcentral. Lineage: Eukaryota; Metazoa; Chordata; Mammalia; Rodentia; Sciuridae.